RNAcentral lists this ribosomal RNA (337 nucleotides) under uncultured bacterium. RNAcentral's name for it is "bacterial SSU rRNA". It matches the Rfam family "Bacterial small subunit ribosomal RNA", at positions 22 to 356 of the family's 1533-position model. The record is from RNAcentral.
GCUCAGAUUGAACGCUGGCGGCAUGCCUUACACAUGCAAGUCGAACGGCAGCACGAUCUAGCUUGCUAGAUUGAUGGCGAGUGGCGAACGGGUGAGUAAUACAUCGGAACGUGCCCUGUAGUGGGGGAUAACUAGUCGAAAGAUUAGCUAAUACCGCAUACGACCUGAGGGUGAAAGUGGGGACCGCAAGGCCUCAUGCUAUAGGAGCGGCCGAUGUCUGAUUAGCUAGUUGGUGAGGUAAAGGCUCACCAAGGCGACGAUCAGUAGCUGGUCUGAGAGGACGAUCAGCCACACUGGGACUGAGACACGGCCCAGACUCCUACGGGAGGCAGCAGUA